Triticum aestivum (bread wheat) is the source of this 126-nucleotide non-coding RNA. Lineage: Eukaryota; Viridiplantae; Streptophyta; Magnoliopsida; Poales; Poaceae. The record is from Rfam.
GUAGUACUCUCUCCGUCCGGAAAUACUUGUCGAAGAAAUAACUAAAAAUAGAUGUAUCUAGAACUAAAAUACGUCUAGGUACACUCAUUUCUCUGACAAGUAUUUUUUGAAUGGAGGAAGUACAAG